Molecule: transfer RNA, 78 nt
Filed under: Deltaproteobacteria bacterium
Lineage: Bacteria; Pseudomonadati; Myxococcota; Myxococcia
Also listed under: 1 other name
Description: tRNA-Glu
Rfam family: tRNA
About the family: Transfer RNA (tRNA) molecules are approximately 80 nucleotides in length. Their secondary structure includes four short double-helical elements and three loops (D, anti-codon, and T loops). Further hydrogen bonds mediate the characteristic L-shaped molecular structure. tRNAs have two regions of fundamental functional importance: the anti-codon, which is responsible for specific mRNA codon recognition, and the 3' end, to which the tRNAs corresponding amino acid is attached (by aminoacyl-tRNA synthetases). tRNAs cope with the degeneracy of the genetic code in two manners: having more than one tRNA (with a specific anti-codon) for a particular amino acid; and 'wobble' base-pairing, i.e. permitting non-standard base-pairing at the 3rd anti-codon position.
Source: RNAcentral
GGUCCCAUCGUCUAGUCUGGCCCAGGACAUCGGCCUCUCACGCCGAAAACGGGGGUUCGAAUCCCCCUGGGAUCACCA